Molecule: ribosomal RNA, 292 nt
Filed under: uncultured bacterium
Lineage: Bacteria
Description: partial 16S ribosomal RNA
Source: RNAcentral
GGACUACAGGGGUAUCUAAUCCCGUUCGCUCCCCUGGCUUUCGCACCUCAGCGUCAGAUACGCGCCAGGACACUGCCUUCGCCUUCGGUGUUCCUCCGGAUCUCUACGCAUUUCACCACUCCACCCGGAAUUCCGUGUCCCUCUCGCGCUCUCAAGUCAGACCGUCUUUCGUAUGCUCGCCUAGUUAAGCCAGGCGCUGUCACACCAAACGCGUCCGACCGCCUGCAUGCCCUUUACGCCCAGUAACUCCGGACAACGCUUGCCCCCUACGUAUUACCGCGGCUGCUGGCAC